Phyllostomus hastatus (greater spear-nosed bat) is the source of this 453-nucleotide non-coding RNA. The record is from the annotation of a RefSeq genome assembly. NCBI's taxonomy places the organism in Eukaryota, Metazoa, Chordata, Mammalia, Chiroptera, Phyllostomidae.
GCUCCUCAGAGAAGUUUUGGAAUCAUUACAAGUUGUGUCAAGACAGAUAUCAUGAUGGAGAGCAUGCUGGAGUAUGCAGUGAUACUCUUGUGGCUUCAGCUUGGCUGGUUGAGUGGAGAAGACCAGGUGGAGCAAAGUCCUCAGACCCUGAGGAUCCAGGAACGAGAGAGUGUCAGCCUCAAAUGCAGUUACACAGUCAGCGCUUUCAGAGCACUGCAGUGGUACAGGCAAGAUCCUGGGAAAGGCCCCAAAUUCCUCUUCAACCUGUAUUCAGUUGGGAAAGAACAGCAGAAUGAGAGACUAACGGCUAUGCUUUCAGAGAAGGGGAGUUCUCUGCACAUCAACACCCCUAAAGCUGAAGACUCAGCCACUUACCUCUGUGCUGUGGAGGCACAGUGCUCCCCAGGCACCUGCACCCUCUACCAAAACCCUGCAGCUGAGCCUCUGGAAUAA